This 253-nucleotide ribosomal RNA is filed under the name uncultured bacterium. Its description in RNAcentral is "partial 16S ribosomal RNA". It matches the Rfam family "Bacterial small subunit ribosomal RNA", at positions 524 to 776 of the family's 1533-position model. The record is from RNAcentral.
UACGGAGGAUGCAAGCGUUAUCCGAAAUGAUUGGGCAUAAAGCGUCCGCAGGUGGCGAUGUAAGUCUGCUGUUAAAGAGUCUAGCUCAACUAGAUAAGAGCAGUGGAAACUACAUAGCUAGAGUACGUUCGGGGCAGAGGGAAUUCCUGGUGUAGCGGUGAAAUGCGUAGAGAUCAGGAAGAACACCGGUGGCGAAGGCGCUCUGCUAGGCCGCAACUGACACUGAGGGACGAAAGCUAGGGGAGCGAACGGG